This 484-nucleotide ribosomal RNA is filed under the name uncultured bacterium. RNAcentral describes it as "partial 16S ribosomal RNA". It matches the Rfam family "Bacterial small subunit ribosomal RNA", at positions 29 to 507 of the family's 1533-position model. The record is from RNAcentral.
AUUGAACGCUGGCGGCAUGCUUUACACAUGCAAGUCGAACGGCAGCACGGGCUUCGUCCUGGUGGCGCGUGGCGCACGGGGGAGUAAUAUAUCGGAAUAUACCCCGCAGGGGGGGGUAACGUCGCGAAAGUUAUGCUAAUACCGCCUACUAGCUACUGCUGCUAGCUGGGGACCGCAAGGCCUUGUGCUCCUGGAGCGACCGACACCGGUUUAGCUAGCUGGUGGGGUAAAGGGUCACCAAGGCGACGAUCAGUAGCUGGACGGAGAGGACGAGCGGCCACACGAGAACUGGGACAGGGUCCAGACUCCUGCGGGAGGCAGCAGUGGGGAAUGUUGGACAAUGGGCGGAAGCCUGAUCCAGCAAUGCCGCGUGAGUGGAGGAGGCGUUCGGGUUGUAAAGAUGUUUUGUCAGGGAAGAAACGGUAGAGGCUAAUAUCCUGUGCUAAUGACGGUACCUGAAGAAUAAGCACCGGCUAACUACGUG